RNAcentral lists this unclassified non-coding RNA (6681 nucleotides) under Pomacea canaliculata. Its description in RNAcentral is "monocarboxylate transporter 12-like, transcript variant X3". The record is from RNAcentral. Lineage: Eukaryota; Metazoa; Mollusca; Gastropoda; Architaenioglossa; Ampullariidae.
AAACUACUUUCACCAUGCAUCCAGUGUCACCAUGUUUCUCACCAAUCACAUCCUGAAGACACACUCUUCCACUCCACACCGGCUGAGUCUCAUUCUACUAGCACCACAGAAGACUGUGUCAGCUUUGCCAAGAACUGGAUGGUAACAGACAAACUUAAACUCGACUAUCAUAAAACAGAAACCCUCCUAUGCCCGUGAAGAAAACAUCAUUCAUCGCUCGUCAGUCCGUCCAAUCACAUCAAGGUGGGCGAAACCAGCAUCACAGGAACCUGGGAUUCAUUGUCACUUGUGCAGUCAUGGCCAAAGAACCAUUUCCACAGGACCGAGGGUGGGCAUGGGCCAUUGUAGUUGGAAGUUUCUUCAGCUUUUUCUUCAUGGUGGGAACCGCCAAAUCACUUGGUCUGUUUCUCAGUGAGUUCCAGCAGUAUUUUGGCUGUUCAACCUCUAUGGCUGCCAUGGUCAUGGGGUCUGGUGCUAUAGUCUAUGCUGUGCUAUCCCCUGUCUGCAUAAUGCUUGGCCAGAGAUUCCAAGUUCGGCGUGUGAUAAUGAUAUUUGUCUUCAUCGCAGUUAUUGGAAUGGCUUCUGGCAGUCUUCUUAUCAGCAUAGAGUAUCUCAUUGCCACUUUUGGACUUUGCUUUGGCAUUGGUAAUUCUGCCAUCUAUGGAAACUGCUUGGUCAUGUUAGGUGUAUACUUCAGAAAGCGCAAAACUUUGGCCAAUGGCUUGGCUUUGGCUGGUUCCAGUAUCGGGCAGUUUGCUUUGCCUCCAGUGAUAGAAUACCUGCUGGAGACAUACAGCUUGCAUGGCAGUAUUCUGCUGUUGAGCGGCCUCUACUUUAAUGUAUUUGCUGCUGCAAGCUUGUUCCGUCCUCCAUCUUUUUAUGCCAGUAUCUAUGAGUCAAAAGAAGUCAGCAUCGAUGAUCGCAACACCAAUACCAUGAAAGUGCCUUUGGAAAACGGGCUGUCAAAUCACGACAGUGAAAAUGGAAUUCAUGAUACAAAGAGUCCAGAUGACCAGAUUUUAUCUCCACUCGUGCCAUCUGUUGGAGACAAAGAUGUCACAGCCUCGGAAGAAUCUGAACUGAAAGAGAGAGAAAAUGAGUACCUGUCAUUAAUGACAAGUACUGGCAGCCUUUGCAUGCAGCCUGUGAGCGCUGAAGGUUUGUCACGCUUAUGUGAAGACAAGAAACCAGAGAAAAGCAUAUGCCAAGAACUAGUCUCCUUUCUUGACUUUGCUGUGAUGAAGAGCUACGUGUCUGUUUUUAUCACAGUGAUAAGUUUCCUAUGUUUUUUUGGCUAUUUUAACUUUAUCUUAUUCCUUCCAUCUCAUGUCCUGUCCCAGGGGAUCACCAAGUAUGAAAAAGCCAUACUCAUCUCCAUGUGUGGUGCUGGUGAUCUUGUAGGUCGUGUUACCAUGGCUCUAAUUGGAGAUCAUAACUUCCUGGCACGAUACAAGAUGAAAGCCAUUGGAGUCAUAGCUGCAGGCGUUAGUAUGGGUAGCUUGGUGUCUGCCAACAAUUUCUGGUGGUUUGCAGUCCCAUGUGGACUGUACGGAUUUUUUGGUGGCAUUUACGUGAGCCUUGUGGCUGUGGUGUUAAUAGACAUGGUGGGUGUGGAGAAAAUGCCUCGACUGCUGGCGAUGGUUAUUCUUAUCCAGGGCUUCGGAUCUGCUGUAGGACAGCCAUUUGCUUGGGGCUGUUCGAGAUGCAACAGGCUCAUUUGGAGUCGUGAUGGUGAUCUGCUGUGUCAGCAACCUCCUUGGUGGCAGUUGUCUUUUCUUGUAUCCCUUGGUGGCACGUCUAGAGGAACAGAGACAAAAAAGGUUGGGAUUGUUGAACAAGGUAGAGAAAGUAUAACCUUUUAUAUAGCUGUCCAUUUUGUUCAUUGAUGCACCCUACUCCAUUGUUGAGUGGAAGUUUUGAGAAAUUUCUUGGGUGCUACCUGGAAACAACAAGAGAGAGAGGAAAGAAUGAAUUUUAUAUUACAUCUUAUGCUGUAGGUGCACUGACAGGCACUUUCAGACUUUAAGGCCAGAUGCUAAAGAGUAAGAAUUAACAUUUAAGAGAUUGUUUUAGCAAUGAAUAGGGAGAAUAAUUAUACAGGUGUUUGUGUCCAUCAAAUGCUAGAGGUUUUUCCAGUUGGUGGACUAGACCUGUGCCAUUCACCAGUGGUGGAUGGACAACAUGGUUGGAUUUUCAUCACUCCCAUCUUACUACACCAUUAACAUAGGCAUGGGCUGACUGUAUAAAUAACAAGAAUUUGUACAGAUUAUGGCUAACAUGUGGGGCUGGACUGGGCUGACUAUGACUAAUAUGGGUCAACAAUACAACUUUAUUGAUCCCCAGGGGCAGUUCAAGAUUGUGUUCAUACUAGCAAUAAUAUAUAUAUACAUGAUAUGAAUAUAUCUGGGAUGACCAAUAUAUGGGUUUGGGCUGACUGACCAACAUGCGGGCAUAGUUGAUCAUUACUAAUGUGGGCCUUGACUGAUUAAUGUGAGCCUGGGCAGACCAUGACUAGCAUAUGGGCCUGGCCUGACUAAGGUAGGCCUAGGCUGACUCCUACAAUGCCAACAUUUGGGUCUAAGCUGAUUCUGACAUAAGUAAAAAGUAGAUCUUUACUGUCCAUGACAUUACUUACCAUGUGGACCAAGGUAGAUCAUAGCAAUAAAACCCACAUAGGACAAUAUAGAGAUGGUCCAGUCAAGAGAGCUACGGUUGUGAUUUGUGUGUUGUUCUUUUAGCUAUCAUGUUCAAAGCAGGUCCUUAAUGACUAUAAACAUUUUGAGUCUGCUACAUUUUUUUUAAUGUGACAGUAACCAUGUCUUUACUGAUGAAACAUAUCUUGGUCUAUUCAAGUUUAUAAUUUAUGGACUUUGAAUAUUUGUUGAUUAGCUAAAUCAAUGGGCUUGAAAUCAACUGUUCUCGGUGAAAUGAAUAGUAAUGUUUUCACCUUAGAUCUGGCAUAUAACCAUAUUAUAUAUUCACCUUUAUGCCACUAUUCUUUGGUUGUAUCUUUAUAAAGUAUAACUCAAAGAUUUAUUUACACAAAGAGCAACAGAUAUUUGAUUUUAUACUUUUUCAUCUACUCUGAUGCAGAGUAAAAUGCUCAUUGCUGAAAUAUUUGCUAGAUUCCAUUUCUGCAUUUGAGAGUUUACUUAAUAUGCCUGUAUUUAUUGUCAUACCUAGUCCUGCUAUUUUUGAUGGAUCUUAUUAGUAUAAAAUAAAGGACUGAGGAUGUCAAGUUUCUUGGCUGCAUCUGAAAUUUUCUUUGCUACAUCUACUUUAUACUUUAUUCAUAUUAACCUUUGUGCACAUUCUUAUUCUCUAAAGAUAUCAGACUUUUUUAAUUUAUAAGUAAGCAAAGUUGUGUGCUUUAGACAACUGUUGUACUUGUGCAAUACAGUGCAUGACAGUAUACAUUUUAGUCACAAUCUUUGAAAUAGCAACAGUAAAUCAAUUUAUAUACUUAUAUAAAAAUACAUAAGAAAUUUAAUAUUUAUGAUGAAUAUUAUUUUAGAUUAUGCCAUUUGUAAAUGUGAGCCUUCAGCCACUACUUGUGGUUUCCAUGUUGCUGCAAAAGGUAGCUGUGAGAAGAACGCUUUACUUUGUUAAAAUAAGAAUAUGAUAAACAAGGGAAAAAAAAUAAGUGGAUGUGUGUAUGUAAUUUUACAAAAGCGCUGUUCACUGUAAAAAACAAAACAAAACAAAACAAAAAAACAGCAGUUGUCUGAUUACAAAUUUUUGUGUUUCAUACUUCAGUUGUUAGUGCUCCUGAGUUUGGAGCAGAAGGUUGCUGGUUCAUGGCUUGUGAUGAACAGAUAGGUAUAUGAAUUUUUUCAGUUAUGUGCCCCAAACAGUGAACCACACAUGUUUACUGCCCUUCAACCAGUGAUGUCUAGUGUGAAGAACUUGUUAGACCUUUCCUCUUGUGUGGCAAUAUGUUUUUGGUAGGAGGGUGUUUUUAUAGAGAAAUGCUUUGGUAUGUGGUGAAUAUUGAGUGUGGCAGGAAGGAACAGGAUGUAAUAUGGAAAAAUUAUGGUCAGAAUGACCUGGAUGGGAGAAGCAAAGGGGAAAGACUAGAGACUUGUUUAAGUGUUUAAUGUAUAUAAACUGUUUUUUGUGAGAUCCAGCAUGCCUUGGUUGACCACUGGGAAGAGGAUACAAACAUUUCUACCUGUAAUCAUGAGAGUAUGCACUGAGAGGAAAGAUAAGUACGAACGGUACAAUCAACAAGGGAACAGAAAGCCCUGCUAGCAGCUUGAGAAAACUAUUUGCCAUUGUUAUGUAGAUACCCAUUUUAUGCUCUCAGUGAACAUGUUUUAUGGCCUUGCAGAAUUACACGAGUUGCAAGAUAUUCUGUGUCAUUUUAUGCACCUCAAAUAUUUUUUGUAAUUCUUUAGUGAGCGUUUUGGGAGAUUUUGAUUGCUUUGUAUUAAUAAUAGGACAGAACCAUGUAACUGAAUGUCAUGUUUCUUAUCUUGGCUUCCAUGAUGACAUUACAUGUUGGGAAUCUUACUGACAAUACCUCCCUGGUAUUAUUGUUGAUUUAUACACCACUGAUACUGAUAUUUUGGUACAACAUGCCAUUCCUGCUGUUGAAAUAGGUAUGCUCAUGAGAUUUCGCUGCAUUGAUGCCAUAUACCAGGAAUGCUAUAACUGCUAUUAUUUGUUUUAAGUGAAUAUUUCAUUUAUUUAAACAUAGCUACACUAAUGAAACAUGCUGCAUAUGCCUAACCCUAACCCUGACCUUAGUCGUGUACCAGGGCAUAUUGUAAGAAACAUUUGAAAAUCUGUUUUUGGAAACCACUUUCUUUGUUUACACAAACUGACCUCCACUCUAAAAUUUUGAAGCAAGUGUGUAUACAUAUUUUUUAUAACUUUCAGUGGCAUUACUGAGCAUUACUUGUUUUUUUUUUAAAAUGUAAACAUUUUCUGAAAGGGAUUUCUAAAGGUAUUUAAAAAGGAAAUUGUGUAGACUGGCUUAAAAUGGGCUAAUGCCUAGAAUUCUUAAAUGGGGAUUGCAACAAAUCCUGAACAGUAAUGAGAUUUUUCUUUUCUUUUUUUGGCUUGUCUGAGUCACUGACAUGAUUCGUCAAGGGAGAUAAAGGUGACAGAAGGAUUGAGACAAUCACUGUGCCCUAAACACAAUCAACUGCUAUUCUUUAUUUUCACUCCCCCUAUGGAAAAUACCCAUGGGACAAUUUACCCCGCACCAUUUUGUUGAGAGAUUAUGAAGGCUGGGUUUCGUAGCAUAAAAAGUGUGCAUGAAAUUAAUGAAUAUAGCAUGUCAUAUGUUUAUAAACUAGUGGGUGUAAUUAUAUUGAUACAGAUGUGCAUGAUCAUAGCUGAUGAAUUUUACUCCCCUCCAUACUCCUAGAAAGUUUAAUAGUGAACUAGUGAGUACAAGCAUGUAAGUUAUUAUGUGGACAUCUUGACAUCAUGCAUUGACUACCACAAAGCAAGUAUGUUUCUUCAAAAUCAGCAUGUGGAAGAGUUUUUGUUUUUUUAAAAGAGAAAAAGUACAUGAAUUACAAAGAAAUUGACUGCAUUUGUUGAAGGUGUGUUUAUAAAUCACCUUUCUUUGUCACUGGAAAUGAUUUUGUUGUAUUUUGGAAUAGCAUUUUAUCACUCAAUUCCUUUAUUUUUAGCGUAAGUGUUUUUAACUUCUCUCCUUUUGUAUGGGUUUAUGAGUACAUAUGUACUGAGAACUUUACAAUUUUUAUUUCAAUUAAUUUUAUCUUGCUGGAUAGUCUUGCUCACAAAUUGCGAUCAUAAAGCCUGGUGAUAUAAAGAGAUUGUUUAAUGCUGCAUUGCAUUUCAGUGCUAAACAUUACUACCAGUAAAAUAUUUUGCCAAUGUUUAUCCAUUAAUUUACAAAUACUUGUUCACUUUCUUUGCAUGUUAUUUCUUCCACUCAACAAAAGUAUCUUGCUCAUUGAAUGCUGAAUUUUAAGAUGUGACUAGCUUUUCUAUUCCAUGAUCAUGCCUAUCAUUUGUCUGUCCAGCUGUUGUUUUAUCAGGAAGUUUAUGAAGUGCAGAAUUGUACCCUGUAAUUUUGAGAAAAACGUUUUUUAGCUUAUUAAAUAUAUAUAUACCACUUAAUUUGGAAUCGUCUUUUUGGGAUUGUCAAAAUUUUCUUGUGCCUUCAUUUAUUUUGUGGGAUUCUUGAGACAAUGAUGUCUAAAUAGACUUGACAGCACAUUAUGUCCUGAUGGCUGGGUUUGCUGUUUUGUUUUCCAGGGUAUAAUGAUCUUUUGAAAAUGCAAUAUUACUCAUUUCAUGAUAGGACACAUCUACAGAUCAAUACAUGCUGGGGACUUGAACCUACACUCUUCUACAAUUUUUUGUGAAAAAUAAACCUUUAUGACUGAAAAUGAAAGCCAGGUACUGUUAAUGUUAGUAACAAUAAUCUUUUUACUAGUUUUAUGCACAGUUUAGCUGACUGCUCUGCUAAGCAUCCAGUUAGCACCAACUGAUAUGUUGUGGAUUCUUUUUGAGAAAGUCACACUUGAAGUUGAAGGGACUAUGUUUAUGGUCAAAUCAUUCUACCUAUCGAGAGUUAAAUGACAUCUGAACCCCAUAAACAACAGAAAAUAAUUAAAAUGUUAAUCUUUUAUUACAUGCAGCUUUACUGUCAUUGCACAGCCAAAUGAAGAAUCUGUAACUAUGUUUGCAUACCUGUUA